UGUAAGCGUAUACCAAAGUUGUUGCAGUUAAAACGCUCGUAGUCGGACUUUGGCAGUUCCGGAUGUGUGCACGUCGUGUGCGCACUUCGCGGGGAUUGCUUUUGUGGUCUUGCGUAGGAUGAGGCACUUUUAUUAGUGAACGUCCUCACGCAACCACUUUUUACUGUGAGAAAAUCAGAGUGCUCAAAGCAGGCAUUUGCCGUGAAUGUAUUAGCAUGGAAUAAUAGAAUAGGACUUGGUUCUAUUUUGUUGGUUUGUUGGGACUGAGUAAUGAUUAAGAGGGACAGUUGGGGGCAUUUGUAUUUCGGUGCUAGAGGUGAAAUUCUUAGAUUACCGAAAGACAAACUGCUGCGAAAGCGUCUGCCAAGGAUGUUUUCAUUGA
Molecule: ribosomal RNA, 382 nt
Filed under: uncultured eukaryote
Lineage: Eukaryota
Description: partial 18S ribosomal RNA
Rfam family: Eukaryotic small subunit ribosomal RNA
Source: RNAcentral